GUCGAACGAGAGAAGAGAAGCUUGCUUUUCUGAUCUAGUGGCGGACGGGCGUAUUAACACGUGAGCAAUCUGCCUUUCAGAGGGGGAUACCGAUUGGAAACGAUCGUUAAUACCGCAUAACAUAAUUGAACCGCAUGAUUUGAUUAUCAAAGAUUUAUCGCUGAAAGAUGAGCUCGCGUCUGAUUAGCUAGUUGGUAAGGUAACGGCUUACCAAGGCGACGAUCAGUAGCCGGACUGAGAGGUUGAUCGGCCACAUUGGGACUGAGACACGGCCCAGACUCCUACGGGAGGCAGCAGUGGGGAAUAUUGCACAAUGGAGGAAACUCUGAUGCAGCGAUGCCGCGUGAGGGAAGAAGGUUUUAGGAUUGUAAACCUCUGUCUUCAGGGACGAAAAAAGACGGUACCUGAGGAGGAAGCUCCGGCUAACUACGUGCCAGCAGCCGCGGUAAUACGUAGGGAGCGAGCGUUGUCCGGAAUUACUGGGUGUAAAGGGAGCGUAGGCGGGAUCGCAAGUCAGAUGUGAAAACUAUGGGCUUAACCCAUAAACUGCAUUUGAAACUGUGGUUCUUGAGUGAAGUAGAGGUAAGCGGAAUUCCUAGUGUAGCGGUGAAAUGCGUAGAUAUUAGGAGGAACAUCAGUGGCGAAGGCGGCUUACUGGGCUUUAACUGACGCUGAGGCUCGAAAGCGUGGGGAGCAAACAGGAUUAGAUACCCUGGUAGUCCACGCCGUAAACGAUGAUUACUAGGUGUGGGGGGACUG
RNAcentral lists this ribosomal RNA (759 nucleotides) under uncultured bacterium. RNAcentral describes it as "bacterial SSU rRNA". It matches the Rfam family "Bacterial small subunit ribosomal RNA", at positions 61 to 833 of the family's 1533-position model. The record is from RNAcentral.